AACGAACGUUGGCGGCGUGGAUUAGGCAUGCAAGUCGCGGGAAUCCCAGCAAUGGGGGAACCGGCGUAAGGGGCAGUAAGGCAUGGAUCACCUACCCCGCGGUUCGGGAUAGCCCAUCGAGAGAUGGGGUAAUACCGGAUGAUGUCGAGAGACCAAAGCUCCGGCGCCGUGGGAGGGGUCCAUGUGGUAUUAGCUUGUUGGUGGGGUAACGGCCCACCAAGGCGUAGAUGCCUAGCGGGUGUGAGAGCACGACCCGCGCCACUGGCACUGAGACACUGGCCAGACACCUACGGGUGGCUGCAGUCGAGGAUCUUCGGCAAUGAGCGCAAGCUUGACCGAGCGACGCCGCGUGUGCGAUUGAAGGCCUUCGGGUUGUAAAGCACUGUCGAGGGGGAGAAAAGCCCGCAAGGGUGUGAUCUAUCCCUGGAGGAAGCACGGGCUAAGUUCGUGCCAGCAGCCGCAGUAAGAC
This 469-nucleotide ribosomal RNA is filed under the name uncultured bacterium. RNAcentral describes it as "bacterial SSU rRNA". It matches the Rfam family "Bacterial small subunit ribosomal RNA", at positions 28 to 526 of the family's 1533-position model. The record is from RNAcentral.